GGCGGCGUAGCUCAGCUGGCUAGAGCGUUCGGUUCAUACCCGAAAGGUCGGGGGGUUCGAUCCCCUCUGCCGCUACCA
RNAcentral lists this transfer RNA (78 nucleotides) under Cohnella ginsengisoli. Its description in RNAcentral is "tRNA-Met". It matches the Rfam family "tRNA". Rfam says of the family: Transfer RNA (tRNA) molecules are approximately 80 nucleotides in length. Their secondary structure includes four short double-helical elements and three loops (D, anti-codon, and T loops). The record is from RNAcentral. Lineage: Bacteria; Bacillati; Bacillota; Bacilli; Caryophanales; Paenibacillaceae. RNAcentral also lists the same sequence under 1 other name.